Molecule: ribosomal RNA, 484 nt
Filed under: uncultured bacterium
Lineage: Bacteria
Description: partial 16S ribosomal RNA
Rfam family: Bacterial small subunit ribosomal RNA
Source: RNAcentral
AACGAACGCUGGCGGCGUGCUUAACACAUGCAAGUCGAACGAUGAACCCGGAGCUUGCUCCGGCGGAUUAGUGGCGAACGGGUGAGUAACACGUGAGUAACCUGCCCUUGACUCUGGGAUAACUGCUAGAAAUGGUAGCUAAUACCGGAUACGACCCUCGGUGGCAUCACCAGGGGGUGGAAAGAAUUUCGGUCAAGGAUGGACUGGCGGCCUAUCAGCUAGUUGGUGAGGUAACGGCUCACCAAGGCGACGACGGGUAGCCGGCCUGAGAGGGUGACCGGGCACACUGGGACUGAGACACGGCCCAGGCGCCUACGGGAGGCAGCAGUGGGGAAUAUUGCGCAAGGGGCGCAAGCCUGAUGCAGCAACGCCGCGUGAGGGAUGACGGCCUUCGGGUUGUAAACCUCUUUUAGUAGGGAAGAAGCGAAAGUGACGGUACCUGCAGAAAAAGCACCGGCUAACUACGUGCCAGCCGCCGCGGUAA